RNAcentral lists this ribosomal RNA (412 nucleotides) under uncultured bacterium. RNAcentral describes it as "bacterial SSU rRNA". It matches the Rfam family "Bacterial small subunit ribosomal RNA", at positions 28 to 416 of the family's 1533-position model. The record is from RNAcentral.
GACGAACGCUGGCGGCGUGCUUAACACAUGCAAGUCGAACGAGAGGACAAGAGAAGCUUGCUUCUUUUGGAAUCGAGUGGCAAACGGGUGAGUAACACGUAAACAACCUGCCUUCAGGAUGGGGACAACAGACGGAAACGACUGCUAAUACCGAAUACGCUUGGGAGACCGCAUGAUCUUCCAAGGAAAGGGUGGCCUCUACUUGUAAGCUAUCGCCUGAAGAGGGGUUUGCGUCUGAUUAGGCAGUUGGUGAGGUAACGGCCCACCAAACCUACGAUCAGUAGCCGGUCUGAGAGGAUGAACGGCCACACUGGAACUGAGACACGGUCCAGACUCCUACGGGAGGCAGCAGUGGGGAAUCUUCCGCAAUGGCGAAGCCUGACGGAGCAACGCCGCGUGAGUGAUGACGGCC